RNAcentral lists this ribosomal RNA (585 nucleotides) under uncultured bacterium. Its description in RNAcentral is "partial 16S ribosomal RNA". It matches the Rfam family "Bacterial small subunit ribosomal RNA", at positions 355 to 1375 of the family's 1533-position model. The record is from RNAcentral.
UGGGGAAUUUUGGACAAUUGGGCGAAAGCCUGAUCCAGCAAUGCCGCGUGUGUGAAGAAGGCCUUCGGGUUGUAAAGCACUUUUGUCCGGAAAGAAAUCCUUGGCUCUAAUACAGUCGGGGGAUGACGGUACCGGAAGAAUAAGCACCGGCUAACUACGUGCCAGCAGCCGCGGUAAUACGUAGGGUGCAAGCGUUAAUCGGAAUUACUGGGCGUAAAGCGUGCGCAGGCGGUUUGCUAAGACCGAUGUGAAAUCCCCGGGCUCAACCUGGGAACUGCAUUGGUGACUGGCAGGCUAGAGUAUGGCAGAGGGGGGUAGAAUUCCACGUGUAGCAGUGAAAUGCGUAGAGAUGUGGAGGAAUACCGAUGGCGAAGGCAGCCCCCUGGGCCAAUACUGACGCUCAUGCACGAAAGCGUGGGGAGCAAACAGGAUUAGAUACCCUGGUAGUCCACGCCCUAAACGAUGUCAACUAGUUGUUGGGGAUUCAUUUCCUUAGUAACGUAGCUAACGCGUGAAGUUGACCGCCUGGGGAGUACGGUCGCAAGAUUAAAACUUAAAGAAUUGACGGGGUCAUAGCUGUUUCCU